Gallus gallus (chicken) is the source of this 1035-nucleotide long non-coding RNA. NCBI's taxonomy places the organism in Eukaryota, Metazoa, Chordata, Aves, Galliformes, Phasianidae. The record is from Ensembl.
GAGAAUGAAGGGGGUGGUAUGAUGCUUCUGACAAGGAGAGGAAGGAAAAAGAAAAAAAAAAUUAGUUUAAAAGUUCUUGAGAUCUUCUAUAGGGGAAACAAUUUGCUCUCUUCAUGGUGGGGAAAGCAGUGGAUAUUGUUUUCCUUGAGUUCAACAAGAUUUCAUAGCAUGUUUUUUUUGUUGAGUCAGAGAUGAGUGGAAUAUAAGCCGUUAUUUAGAUAAUGAGAGGCCACUAUCGGAUUUCCUGGGAGCAUGCUCUUCUCCAGGCUGAACAUCCCCAGCUCUCUUGACCUGUCCUUGUAGGGAAGAUGCUCCAUCCCUUGGAUAAUUCUGACUGUUGAUAUUAUAGAAUCAUAGAAAAUAAUGCAUGUAUAUAUUACAUCCUUCUAGAUACGUGGCUCUAUCUGCAGGAUCAUGGCUUUGAUUUACCUGUCUGAACAACAAAAUUAAAAAGGAUGAUACCUGGGUGAAAAUAUGAUGCUACCAAUGUUGGGUAAUUUGCAAAUGGCAUAACUUGCUCAGUUGUCUCUGUCUCCUGAGCAUUUUUUUGAAGCAUGCAAUUGAUGAUUGAGAGACCUCCAUAUAGACAAACUAAACAAAAGGUAACAAUUUAUCCCAAUGUUUUGGUUUACUGCUGAUGAAUUUUUUUAGCAUCUGCUUAAGUGUUUGAUUAAACUAUUCUACAAGCCCAUCUGUUUCUGGCUGAUAGGAAACUGUGUGUGAAGGGGGAAUUUUAAAAGCUUGCAUACCUCAUUUAACAGAGAAGACAUAAAAUUAGUGCCCUGAUCUGUUGAAUUUUCUAAGGGUAAAUCUACUCUGAUAACAGCAUUAAUCAAUUCAUUAGUUUCAUGUUUUGUCAGCUAAGAUUUAAUAGCACUACUGUGAGGUUUGUAAUGUGCCAGCAUCUCUUCCACCUUUUGUUAUGUUCAUCAGUCAAGAAAUGUGACUAAUGGGAAUUAAGUUUCAAAUUAAAUAUUCCUAGCAUAGCUGUAUGACAUACCGCUAUAUAUAAAACAGUGAGUACACCUUUAGAUG